This 982-nucleotide long non-coding RNA is filed under the name Calidris pugnax (ruff). Its description in RNAcentral is "lncRNA (ENSCPUG00000001672.1)". The record is from RNAcentral. Lineage: Eukaryota; Metazoa; Chordata; Aves; Charadriiformes; Scolopacidae.
UCCCUCCAUCAUGCCUGAUGGGCUGAGAUGUCUGCUGAGAUGAUUAGCAAGGACACAGGUGGAGGAGAAGGGAUGAUUUUUUUUUUUUUUUUUUUUCUGUUCUCUGGCUUUUCAGGAAAUGUGGCGAGUGACAGGACCUUAGGAGACAUCCAUCCUGAUGCACAUUUCCACGUUCAGAUGUGCCCUACAACUCAGCAUCCUUGUUUUUUCCCAGAUUAGCGACAAAAUGGGACAGAGAGACACCUGAAAAAUAAAGCUGAUUUCCUCCUCUCGUAGCCACGGCGGAUGCGGAGAACAAUAGGUACUAUGCCUGCUCUGCCCACCCGUUGUGACGGGGACUCUUAUCCUGCUUCCUUAGCCCUGGUGCCCAGACCUCCCCUGGAAAUGGGGCAGUGAAUGAAGCAAAUGAAGCAAAUUCAGAGAACCCACCCAAGGGGAAAAAAAAAGCCACUCCAAAGAAGUGAUUUGGAAAAUAACUUUGCAAAGGAAUGAUGGAAAGCAGCAACUGAAUGAAGAAUGAUGUUUACAGGACAGAGAAAUACACAUAGAUAUCCAGAGCACAACUUUUAUAAAAUUAAUAGAAAUAGAAGAAUCUCAUCACUGGCAUUUCUGUGAGCAUCAGGAGUCAAGAAGCAGCUGAGAGUGACCAAGAGGGCAGAGGAGAAUCAUGACCAAGCUUCGUGUGUUGUGCUGCCCUGAGCUGAGAAAGGAAGAUGCUGCUCAGGGAAACUGCAGCUGAAGGAGCCCUUUGCAGGGCAGAGAACCUGCUUUGGAGACCCAACCAGGGAUGCAAAGCUGCUUAUUGCGAAAGACGCAGCUGAAUGUAUCCAAUUAUCACUCUGUCUCUGGGAAAGAAAAUAUCAGUGGCCCUCAUGACCCCAUGAUAUCAGUGAAGAGGGGACAGAUAUUGCAGUGGAGAAGACAGGAUCUGCCCAUCGUGGUGGGAUUUCUGACUGCCUGCAGCCGUGGCCUAUCAGUUUGA